Molecule: ribosomal RNA, 460 nt
Filed under: uncultured bacterium
Lineage: Bacteria
Description: bacterial SSU rRNA
Rfam family: Bacterial small subunit ribosomal RNA
Source: RNAcentral
UACGGAAGGCAGCAGUGGGGAAUAUUGCACAAUGGGCGAAAGCCUGAUGCAGCUAUGCCGCGUGUAUGAAGAAGGCCUUAGGGUUGUAAAGUACUUUCAUCGGGGAGGAAAAAACAAAACUAAUAAUUUUAUUUCUUGACGUUACCCGAAAAAGAAGCACCGGCUAACUCCGUGCCAGCAGCCGCGGUAAUACGGAGGGUGCUAGCGUUAAUCAGAAUUACUGGGCGUAAAGAGCACGUAGGUGGUUUUUUUAAGUCAGAUGUGAAAUCCCUGGGCUUAACCUGGAACUGCAUUUUGAAACUGAAAUACUAGAGUAUCGUAGAGGGAGGUAGAAUUCUAGGUGUAGCGGUGAAAUGCGUAGAUAUCUGGAGGAAUACCUGUGGCGAAAGCGGCCUCCUAAACGAAUACUGACACUGAGGUGCGAAAGCGUGGGGAGCAAACGAGGGAUUAGGAUACCCGU